GAGACUUCUAUGCGGUAUGGAGGGACGAUUUUGGUGACAUCUGAGACGCAGCCGCACUUCAACAAGCGUCCGGGCUCCAGGGACAUGGCGGCGGCCUCUGUGGUGUCGGUGCUGCUGGUGGCGACUGAGAGGAACCAGUGGCAGUCAGUCCAGAGCCCGCUGCUGCUGCUGCUGCUGCCGCUGCCGAGGAAACGAUCCAAAAGGUAGUUCUGGCACUUGGAUACUACUACGUUGGAGCAACUUGUCAUGCCUGCAUUGUGUGGAACCAGUGUUCAGAAUAACAUGUAAAAACUUCAGGCUGGUGGAGGAGGGAGCACACAAUGUCCUGGUACUCCAGGGAGACCAUUUGAUAUGUUAAAUAGAAUAUAUCAUUUCUCUGGAAGGAAGUCUCUAUGCACAACCCACUCUUAAGUAAGACUUUUUUUUUCGCUUUCCAAAAUGGAUCAAGAUGCUUAUUUUGGAUGAAGCCAGUAAAAAUGUUGAGCCAAAGGAUUAAAGGUCAAAUCCACGAGAUUUACCAGAAAUCAAAUACAAGGACUCAGGUUGUGUUGCUUUCUGCCUUAAUGCCAAUUGAUAUGCUGAAGACCUCAAAAAGUUCCUGAGAAAUCCAUUUCAAAUUCUAGUGAAGAAAGAAGAGCUGACCUCUGAAAAGGUGGUGACAGAAAGAAAGAGGCAUUACCAAGAGGGAAUUCAGAUAAGAAUUGGCAGUGGGAGUCAAUUUGGGAGGAAGGCUGUGGCCUUAAACAUUGAAGAAAAGAAGAUUCUUUGUGACACUGAGCCUUUCUACCAUACUACACUGGAGGAAAUGCCAAUGAAUGUGGAUGACCUAAUUUAAUUCCUGGGAUGAAAUGGUUUUGAGUGUAGUGCUUGCUGUUGGUGAAUAGGCAAUCACAAGGUGCAUCAUGCUUCUUUUGGGGGAAAUAUUUGAAGUUUUGUCUCAAUGCUCAUAACAGAUCAAAAAUAUAGAUUUUGAUAGCAAAGCAACUUCAGCCAUGAGCUCAUGUGAGGAAAGUCAUUGGCUUUAUCCUCUUUAGAAUUAGACUGUUGGGGUAGCUAUAAAAGAUGGGCUUGUACCCAAUCGAAAAAUGGGCAGAAGACCUAAAUAUACAUUUCUCCAAAGAAGACAUACAGAUGGCCAACAGGCAAAUGAAAAAAGUCUCAACAUGGCUAAU
Delphinapterus leucas (beluga whale) is the source of this 1172-nucleotide non-coding RNA. Lineage: Eukaryota; Metazoa; Chordata; Mammalia; Artiodactyla; Monodontidae. The record is from RefSeq and is a predicted model, not a curated record.